This 484-nucleotide ribosomal RNA is filed under the name uncultured bacterium. RNAcentral describes it as "partial 16S ribosomal RNA". It matches the Rfam family "Bacterial small subunit ribosomal RNA", at positions 30 to 507 of the family's 1533-position model. The record is from RNAcentral.
AUUGAACGCUGGCGGCAGGCCUAACACAUGCAAGUCGAGCGGAAGAAGGGUGCUUGCUCCUGGAUUCCGCGGCGGAAGGGUGAGUAAUGCCUAGGAGUCUGCCUGGUAGUGGGGGAUAAUGUCUGGAAACGGGCGCUAAUACCGCAUACGUCCUGCGGGUGAAAGAGGGGGAUGUUUGGACCUCACGCUAUGUGAUGAGCCUAGGUCGGAUUAGCUAGCUGGUGGGGUAAAGGCCUACUAAGGCGACGAUCCGUAACUGGUCUGAGAGGAUGAUCAGUCGCACGAGAACUGGAACGCGGUCCAUACGCCUAAGGGAGGCAGCAGUGGGGAAUAGUGGGCAGUGGGCGAAAGCCUGAUCCAGCCAUGCCGCGUGUGUGGAGAAGGUCUUCGGAUUGUAAAGCACGUUAAGUUGGGAGGAAGGGCAGUAGGUUAAUACCUUGCUGGUUUGACGGUACCAACAGAAUAAGCACCGGCUAACUACGUG